Molecule: ribosomal RNA, 433 nt
Filed under: uncultured bacterium
Lineage: Bacteria
Description: partial 16S ribosomal RNA
Rfam family: Bacterial small subunit ribosomal RNA
Source: RNAcentral
AACGAACGCUGGCGGCAGGCCUAACACAUGCAAGUCGAACGAAGUCUUCGGACUUAGUGGCGCACGGGUGCGUAACACGUGGGAAUAUACCUAACGCUGGGGGAUAACAUCGGGAGACUGAUGCUAAUACUGCAUACGACCUUCGGGGGAACGUAUUAUCGGCGAACGGUUUGCCCGCGUCCGAUUAGCUAGUUGGUACAGUAAUGGCUCAACAAGGCUCCGAGCGGUAGCUGGUCUGAGAGCAUGACCAGGCACACUGGGACUGAGACACGGCUCAGACUCCUACGGGAGGCAGCAGUGGUGAAUAUUGGACGAUGGGCGCGAGCCUGAGCCAGCCGUGCCGCGUGGGUGAUUUAGUCCUUAGGGUUGGAAAGCUCGCGCACCCACGGCGAUGUUGACGGUAGUGGAAGAGGAAGCCCCGGCUAACUUCGUG